This 364-nucleotide unclassified non-coding RNA is filed under the name uncultured bacterium. RNAcentral's name for it is "contains 16S-23S intergenic spacer region". The record is from RNAcentral.
UCCCGGUUGGCCCGGGCAGUCUCGCAUGAAAAAUACAACAUACGAUAGGGGUUGCGCUCGUUGCGGGACUUAACCCAACAUUUCACAACACGAGCUGACGACGGCCAUGCAGCACCUGUCACCUGAUUCCUUGCGGCACCCCACUGUUUCCAGCGGGUUCCAGGGAUGUCAAGCCUCGGUAAGGUUCUACGCGUACCGUCAUAUUAAACCACAUCAUCCUCCGCUUGUGCGGGUCCCCGUCAAUUCCUUUGAGUUUUAGCCUUGCGGCCGUACUUCCCAGGCGGCAUACUUAUCGCGUUAGCUGCGUCGCACAGGGGGUCGAUACCCCAUACGACUAGUAUGCAUCGUUUACGGCGUGGACUAC